RNAcentral lists this ribosomal RNA (371 nucleotides) under uncultured organism. RNAcentral's name for it is "partial 16S ribosomal RNA". It matches the Rfam family "Bacterial small subunit ribosomal RNA", at positions 527 to 896 of the family's 1533-position model. The record is from RNAcentral.
GGAGGGUGCAAGCAUUAAUCGGAAUUAUUGGGCGUAAAGGGCGCGUAGGCGGAUUGGUAAGUCAGAUGUGAAAUUCCGAAGCUCAACUUCGGAGCUGCAUUUGAAACUACCUAUCUAGAGGAUUGUCGGAGAAAACGGAAUUCCACGUGUAGCGGUGAAAUGCGUAGAUAUGUGGAAGAACACCUGUGGCGAAAGCGGUUUUCUAGUUUAUUCCUGACGCUAAGGCGCGAGAGCUAGGGGAGCAAACAGGAUUAGAUACCCUGGUAGUCCUAGCCGUAAACGAUGUAUACUUGGUGUAGAUGGGCUCAACCCUAUCUGUGCCGGAGCUAACGUGUUAAGUAUACCGCCUGGGGAGUACGCUCGCAAGGGUG